GCUGGAAUUGCUGUAAUGGCAGGUCAGCAUACUGCCGUGAAUACGUUCCCGGGCCCUUGUACACACCGCCCGUCACACCAUGAGAGUUGGAAAUACCCGAAGCCUGUGAGCUAACUUAAAGAGGCAGCAGUCGAAGGUAGAGCCAAUGAUUGGGGUGAAGUCGUAACAAGGUAGC
RNAcentral lists this ribosomal RNA (175 nucleotides) under uncultured bacterium. RNAcentral describes it as "partial 16S ribosomal RNA". It matches the Rfam family "Bacterial small subunit ribosomal RNA", at positions 1325 to 1500 of the family's 1533-position model. The record is from RNAcentral.